Molecule: long non-coding RNA, 192 nt
Filed under: Gouania willdenowi (blunt-snouted clingfish)
Lineage: Eukaryota; Metazoa; Chordata; Actinopteri; Blenniiformes; Gobiesocidae
Description: lncRNA (ENSGWIG00000020526.1)
Source: RNAcentral
GUUAUUGAGUCAUUAACCAAGGCCUCUUCCCACAGGGUCAGCCAGGUACUGAGGGGAUGAAAGGACAAAAAGGUGAUAUAGGUCCUCCUGGUCCUCCUGGUCCUGUGAUGACAGCUCAUGGAUUGAGACAGCUCUCUGGAACUGAUGACAUGAAGGACACAACCAUGAAAGGAGAGAAGGGAGAUAAGGUAA